GACGAACGCUGGCGGCGUGCUUAACACAUGCAAGUCGAACGGAAAGGCCCUGCUUUUGUGGGGUGCUCGAGUGGCGAAAGAGUGAGUAACAAGUGAGUAACCUGCCCUUGACUUUGGGAUAACUUCAGGAAACUGGGGCUAAUAACGGAUAGGAGCUCCUGCUGAAAGGCGGGGGUUGGAAAGUUUCGGCGGUUGGGGAUGGACUCGCGGCUUAUCAGCUUGUUGGUGGGGUAGUGGCUUACCAAGGCUUUGACGGGUAGCCGGCCUGAGAGGGUGACCGGCCACAUUGGGACUGGAAUACGGCCCAGACUCCUACGGGAGGCAGCAGUGGGGAAUAUUGUACAAUAGGCGGAAGCCUGAUGCAGCAACGCCGCGUGCGGGAUGACGGCCUUCGGGUUGUAAACCGCUUUCGCCUGUGACGAAGCGUGAGUGACGGUAAUGGGUAAAGAAGCACCGGCUAACUACGUG
RNAcentral lists this ribosomal RNA (468 nucleotides) under uncultured bacterium. RNAcentral describes it as "partial 16S ribosomal RNA". It matches the Rfam family "Bacterial small subunit ribosomal RNA", at positions 28 to 507 of the family's 1533-position model. The record is from RNAcentral.